Molecule: long non-coding RNA, 1079 nt
Organism: Alligator sinensis (Chinese alligator)
Lineage: Eukaryota; Metazoa; Chordata; Crocodylia; Alligatoridae
Exons: 5
Source: RefSeq, a predicted model, not a curated record
GUUUUGUUUAAGAUAGGAGUGCUCUUCUCCAGUGUUCAUUACAAGGAUUCUCAAUAACAAGUCAAACUUCAACUUUUCCAAAUAAGACCUUUGAGUGAGUUUUACAAGGAGAGAUAAAACCAGAGCUGAAGUUUCUCUUCACUUUCCUUGGAGGGGAAAAAGUCAUUCAUCAAUUGUUAAACAAUUUCAUGUCUCAGUCCUCUCCAAAAAUGGUUAGGAGUCUUACCAAUGGCAGAGGCUGCAAGACACUUGAUGACAACUACAGGUGGAUCACAACCUGGAUAAAAAGGAGCUGAAGCAUAUUCCGCAAAGCUAAGACAAAUGAUAGCAAACGAACUGGGUUUUAUGACCAGUAAACUUGUCCAGGAAAACAAAUAUGCUGGAAUUGGACCAAAAGCCUCCAUAAGGAAUUUGGAAACUAGAAACACAAGAAGUGCCAUGCUGGGUCAAACCAAUGAUCCAUCUAGCCCACUCCCCUGUCUCCAACAGUGACAGAAAUGGAUGUUAUACUGAACUGGAUAUCUCUAGAAUAAUUUAUCUCCUAUUCAUUGGUUUAGAGAUGCCAGAAACAUCUCAGCCUAUUCUGCUUAGUACCCAUUAAUAGAUCUAUUGUCCAUUAAUUUGUCUAGUUCCUUUUUGAACCUGGCUAUGCUAUCUGCAUCCACGACCUCCAGUGGGACCUGCACCACCACUACCUGUGGCAAACUGACGGAAAAAUUAGCAUUAAUUGGACUAAUCAGAGUAAAGUGCAUGUAGCAAGAAUUCCACAUGCUGCCCAGAUGAUUAAACAAGGCCCCACAGCUGCAACAUUGGCAAGUACUGAUUUAGGAGAAAUGAAGAUUCCUGAGCCAAUAAUUGUACCAACGAUCAUACAGAUUCCACUGAUCAGACCCACCUUGAAAUGAAAGGAGACAUUCCAAUAAGAAGUGGAUCCAGGAUUUUAAGAGAGGUGCUGGGGCAGCAAUCCGUGCUGCUGGAGUGGCUGUACUCCCCACUUCCAGCAUCCUUCCCUCAGCCCCCCUAUGAAGGUGAGCAGACUGCACCAUGGAAGCAGCAGUCGGGGACCUUUUUAGGCCCUC